GUCCAAGCAGUUAGGCUGGGAAAUAGGCAAAUCCGUUUCCCGUGAAGGCUGAGCUGUGAUGGCGAGCGAAUUAUAGUAGCGAAGUUCCUGAUUCCACACUGCCAAGAAAAGCCUCUAGCGAGGUGAGAGGUGCCCGUACCGCAAACCGACACAGGUAGGCGAGGAGAGAAUCCUAAGGUGAUCGAGAGAACUCUCGUUAAGGAACUCGGCAAAAUGACCCCGUAACUUCGGGAGAAGGGGUGCUCUGUUAGGGUGAAAGCCCGAGAGAGCCGCAGUGAAUAGGCCCAGGCGACUGUUUAGCAAAAACACAGGUCUCUGCGAAGCCGUAAGGCGAAGUAUAGGGGCUGACGCCUGCCCGGUGCUGGAAGGUUAAGAGGAGCGCUUAGCGUAAGCGAAGGUGCGAAUUGAAGCCCCAGUAAACGGCGGCCGUAACUAUAACGGUCCUAAGGUAGCGAAAUUCCUUGUCGGGUAAGUUCCGACCCGCACGAAAGGCGCAACGAUCUGGGCACUGUCUCAACGAGAG
Molecule: ribosomal RNA, 523 nt
Filed under: Bacillus velezensis
Lineage: Bacteria; Bacillati; Bacillota; Bacilli; Caryophanales; Bacillaceae
Description: partial 23S ribosomal RNA
Rfam family: Bacterial large subunit ribosomal RNA
Source: RNAcentral